Cicer arietinum (chickpea) is the source of this 485-nucleotide non-coding RNA. The record is from RefSeq and is a predicted model, not a curated record. NCBI's taxonomy places the organism in Eukaryota, Viridiplantae, Streptophyta, Magnoliopsida, Fabales, Fabaceae.
AAUCUCAAUCCUGCCCUUCCUCCCCAUCUCAAUCCUGCUCUCAAUCCCUAAGUCAAGCUUCACUGGUCUGGCUUGCUAUUUCAGAGUAAUUUGAGUUGUCAUUGACGGGAUCUGUUUCACAUGAUUUAAUAUCCAUAUAGUUCUCGGCAGAUAUCAUAUCAUUCUUGGAAACAACAUUUUCAAUAUGCUUCUCAUCAUUGUUUUCAUGAACCUGGUUUGAAGCCUUAGCAUCUUCACUAACAUGAAGCACCCAGUUGUCAUGAAGAUACUUCACACCUUCUAGAGGGAUGGAUCAUUAAGCACUUCACUUUUUGAAAUUAGAAUUUCUUUGCGUGUGGUGUUCUUAUGAUCUCCUCUUUUAACAUAUUUUACUAAUGCUGUUUUUAAUGCAGGUUGUUUUGGCUGCUAAUGACUCAUCUUCUAUCAAUUAUAUCAAAGAAGCACGUUUGAGGUGUUCAGAUCCCUAUGAAGCACCCAGUUGUCAU